UGAAACACCAGUUCCAGUAAGAUGACCGAAGUUAAGCAAAGUCGAGCCUCGUAAGUACCUAGAUGGGUGACCGCUUGGGAAUUCCAGGUGUUAUAU
Molecule: non-coding RNA, 96 nt
Organism: Acanthosepion pharaonis
Lineage: Eukaryota; Metazoa; Mollusca; Cephalopoda; Sepiida; Sepiidae
Source: the annotation of a GenBank genome assembly